CUGAUUGUAGCAAUGGGGGGGGAGGGAUAGCUCAGUGGUUUGAGCAUUGGUCUGCUAAACCCAGGGUUGUGAGUUCAAUCCUUGAGGGGGCCGUUUAGGAUCUGGGGCAAAAAUUGGGGAUUGGUCCUGCUUUGAGCAGGGGAUUGGACUAGAUGACCUCCUGAGGUCCCUUCCAACCUUGAUAUUCUAUGAUCUAUGUGUCUAUUUAUUUGCAGAGAUGGACCAGUGUCAAACCCCCUUCUCUGUACCAGUUAGAUAUCAAAGAAAGGCCGGGAGGGGUCAUUCUCCUGCGUCCCAUAAAGGGAAGGAGAGGGCUGGAGGAGAACAAAGACCCAUGAGGGGCAGCUCUUCACCUCCGGACGGAGGUCGGGCCCCAGCUCCUGCUGAGCAGGCUAGCCCACUCCAGGACCUGCCUGCUACCCUGGAAAGUGGCAGAGGCAUUCGGCACCUAGCAGUGCCGUCCACACCAGAGGCCUUUCAGGCAGCAAAGGAUGUUCUGUCCCUACCAGUGCUGCUCAUACUGGCCAUGCAUGUGCCUCACUCUAGGCGAAAACCUGCCUUGGAACCCUUCCAAUGGUCCCCAUCAAGGCGGAUCAUCACCUGCAUCCGGACCUGCUGCCACCUAUAGUGAAGGCCCACUUAACUAGGCCUCAAACAUCCUCGGUGGCAUUCUUGGCACAUGUCCCUAUCUAGGACAUCUGCAGGGCCGCGACGUGGUCUUCAGUACACACAUUCACGACGCACUACGCCAUCACCCAGCAAGCAAGAGAUGACGCUGUGUUUGGCAGAGCUGUGUUGCAAUCGACACAUCCACGAACUCCUACCCGCCUCAGAUGGUACAGCUUGGGAGUCACCCACAAUGGAAUGGACAUGAGCAAGCACUCAAAGAAGAAAAGACAGUUACCUUUUUUUGUAACUGGUGUUCUUCGAGAUGUGUUGCUCGCAUCCAUUCCAUGACCCGCCCUCCUUCCCCACUGUCGGAAUUUCCAGCAAGAAGGAACUGAGGAUGGGGGGAACCGGCAGCGCCCCUUGUACCGUGGUAUACACCCAUCACUCCAGAGGGUGCCAGAGCCAGUCCCCUACGGAUACCAAUGAGGGAAAAACUUUCAGCACCGGUGCAUGUGGCGAGCACACACACCUACAAUGGAAUGGACAGGAGCAACACAUCUCGAAGAACACCAGUUACGAAAAAAAGGUAACUCUUUUUCUGCUCCGCUGUAACAUAUUCUUCCCCCCCGCCCUUUAUCAGUGCUUGCUUGGAAUUACUAAGGUAUCUAGUGCCUAAGCAGACACACUGUAUCGAGUGGGCAGUGUUUCUGUGGAACCCUAUUAGUUGUAAAUAUUAAUUGCUAGCUAAACCUAAUUCUUAAUGUCUGGCUAUGGUGUGUGUGUGCGUGUAUGCGCGAGGUGUUCCCUUAUUCAGUUAAUUAUUUAAAUGGCAUGGUUUUUAAUCAUAUUGGGAAAGUUUUAAGUAUUUCUUUUAACUGGCGGUGGCGGGUGGGUUGUUUCUGGAUAUUUGGUGCUCAGGACCCGGAGAAUUUUUAAUCCAUCCCUGCACUGAUUGAGUUAGCAUGCUAACAAUAGAAGUGUAGCCACGGUGGCCCAGAGUGGUGGGAGCUGUUAGCUGUCCUGAGUAUGGUUCUGUCUGGGACCACAGUUACACACUGGGACAACUAUUCCUCCUGCUGCUUGGGCUGCCACUGCUACACUCCACUUCUGAUGUCUUCGCUCAAUCAGAGCAAGCAAGGGCAUAUCUCCUUGAGCUGGAAACUACACCUCCCGCUCCGGUGUAGCCAUAACCUACACAGAACUUGCAGUCCUGGAGAGGGUCUGUCUAAGGUACAACACCCUCCCUGGACAGCCCUAUGGGAUGCUGAGCUUCCUAGAAUCUCCACAGUUGCUGCACGCACACAUCCCUGUCCUGACAUACCCCUCCCACCCUCCGCCUCACCCCCCGAAGGACUGUCUUCCAUAGAGCCUUCACCAAGGGAAUACUCUUCCUGUCGAAUAUGGGGCUUUGAGAUCCUUUAUGCUGUUCCAGACGUUUUACCUGAUAUCAAGGGGCAAGAACGGGGAUAAGAUUUCCUUGCCAGGUCUCCAGAUGCGAAGGUCUAAGCAUUCUGCCACCUAGGCCUUUAGCUAUUACCAUUAACUUUAAAUUGGGCUUCUCUGAGAUGUUCAGAGGCAAGGAGCUAACUGCAAACCCCAAGGCUGGCUCUCUGAAACAUUUCUCUCAUCUUCCCCAGAACACAGACUCUCACAGCUCUUCACUGGUGUCUCCAAAGAGAUUAAAUCACACUAAAAAAAAUUAAACCGAUUGACUCUUUCACAGCUAUGCACAUAGAAACCUCCCUGUGAAUGUAUAGUAACUAAGAGACCUUUUGAAUUAUAAAUAACCAUGUCUGAGAUCAAAUGGGGGUCAGGGGCUUGCUGGAUAAUGGACAAGCUCCACUGCAAACUAUGCUACUAAAUGUCAAUCCAGAGAUGCUAUAAAUCCAACUAAAAAUAGUUCUGAUGGUUUUAUGUUUGAACACACAAGCUCCGAGCUCCACACAUAAGAAAAGAAUAAACAGUGUGGGUGGCAUAAUUGUUACUUUUUUUUAUAUCCCAAACAUAUGCUUUUAGCAAUCAGGAUCUCAUAAAUUCUAGCUCUCUGCUUGUCAGUAUUACUUUGGCUUCCCAACAAGGGCCUUUCUACUGCAUUGGCCUCACGCCAGAGCUAUCAUCUUGCCUCCACUGAUGUCUGCAGGUCUUAGGGUCCAAUAAAAAUACUAAUUUAAAAAUAUAGCGAUAUGAAUGAAAUACAGGGCUUCACACGUAGAAAUAAUGAAGUGAGGUCGCUUAGUUUCAGAAUUGCCCUUUUAAUUAUGAUCUCCUUCCCCUCGUUUAUGCCCUCUGCCUCAAGCUGGGAGCAAUACUCUCAUUCAGUCCCAAAAUCCUAGGCAUGUGCAGUCUAUGCUGCAAUAGUCUCCCCUUGAUGAUCAGACACUAAAGGUUGAAUGGGUCUGUCUGGGGGACAAGACUGAGAGCCCCAGAAAGCUACAGGAGCCACUUGGCAAGAUGAUCUGCUUGCACGGACAUCUUCAGAACUCUGAGUCUUGUUCCACUUCACACGCCCUCCUGUAGCAGGACACUGACCUGCUGCAAAGGCCCAAAUCCAACCCUCUCUUGUGUAAGAGAGUGAAACUGCUAUGCAAUUAGAACACUUUGGGGGAAAUGAGUCUAGAACACCAUGUUAGUGCACUUUCGUUGGGGACAGGGGAAGUAUUAUCAUUUUUCCUUCUUGUUUAUGCCUCCAAUCUCUAAUUCUUGGUCUCUCUAGCACAUACAGAGCUACCAUCUGCCAAAGCCUCUCAGUGACAGUCUCCUGUAGGCUAGGAUUUGAUGUCUUCUGAACCCAUAUGGAGACCAUCAUCUCCUCCUGUAUGACCUCCAACCUUUCCCUACUCAGGCCUCAAAUCACCAGGAGUAUUGCCAGCCUCAGAACAGGAGAACUUAGCAUAGCUCCCUUUGGAGUUGAUUUACUGUGCCCAAUCAGCCAGCAGAUAGAUAUCACUUGAUGUGCGUGAGGUUUCCCUUCUGGGGGCAGAGUGCACUCCUAUAGUUUUAUAAAAGAUGCUUGUCCUGUACCAUAAAUUACAAGUGUGCCUAUCUGCAGUGAGUCAAUGGUAGAUUAUGAUUAUAAAAUGUCAUUGGUGUCAAGGAAGCUUGGGGAAAAAUCAGGUACCCACAUUUUGUUGAGUGUAUCUUCAGUAACUUCAGUGGAAUUACAUCAGGGAUAAAUUUGAAUGAUUCCUCUGAAGAAAAAAAUAAAGUCAGAAUUUUAUAAUAUAGUGCAGUAAGGUGGCAAACACGAAAGCUAAUAUUCCAAUUUACAGUAUAACACUGUUCAACUAUUCAUAACCAUCUCCAAAAAAAAUCUCAUUUCCAGCCAAAAUUUGUAAUACUUCUCCAGCACAGAGAUUAAUCUUUUCUGCAAUUUGGAAUAGAAUUCAAAAUUAAGAUAUGUUAAAGUUAAGCCAGGAAGGGCAAAAUAUUUCUAUUUAUUUAGAUUGCAAGCUCCUUGAGACAGAAACCUUUUGUUUGUACUUGCCUAGCAUGGUCUAUAAAAAUAAUUUAUGCCUUCUUGUGCACGUCACUCAAACUGCUCAACUUUAAUGGCUAGGGGAUUAAAAUUGCACACAUGAAAAAAUGGGUGAAUAUUUUAUAUUAAAACCCUACUCUAAAAGUUCAUGUGUGUCUAGUCCUCACUGAGGAGCAGUCAUUUGGUAAUGUUGGUGUUUACAAAAUAAAUAAAAUUUGGCUUUUAUGCAUGAGCAGUUAAAAUGCUUCAUCACCAUUGUUUUUAGCUGGAUUAUUGCCAGCGGCGCUAGUUGUGAAAUGAAGUCUUUUGUUUUUUUUCCUCCCCUACAGUGUGAACUUCAAAACCUAUAGCAUUGUGCACAGAUCGAAACAGUGUGACCCAAGAGUCCCAAAGACUGGGUGUUUUGAGUCCUGCAGUUCAUAGUAUCCUAGAAAUAUAGGGCUGGGAGGGACCCCGAGGUCAUCUAGUUGAUCCCUCAGUGCUGAGGUAUGGAGUGGUACAGUUCUGCUUUGUACAUUUCCCUUUUUCUUUUAUUUCCUUUUAAGGCAAUGAAUUGCAAAAGCCAGUUAAUUUUAAAUUUUAUUAUUGUUUAACUAUUAUUUAAUUUUAAAUUUUUAAAAAUUUCAGGUAAUAAGAACGAGUGUUACUUAAGAAAUUUAACUCAUUCACAUUAAACACAAACACAUAGUAUUUUGGAUUACUUGCUUUGCUGAUAUGUGGACACUUUAAUGUACAGCAUAUACAAUGUGGGUGAGUGUGUGUGCAUAUAUAUAUAUAUAUAUAAAUACAUACACACACACACACCCAAGCAACCUGAGUUUGGGCCCCUUGUGCAUAUGCAUUGUGAUACAGUCUAUAAUUAUAUGAUUGCAUACUAUUUCUUUCUACAGGACCCUUUCCUCGUUCAGUGUGCUGGAUCGAUGGCGCUCCAUUGAUUAGGCUAAUGGUUUGGUGGAUGGGGGAAUACAGUGGACAUAAUAUACCUGGACUUCAGCAAGGCUUUUGGCACAGUCCCACUGUGACAUUUUCAUAAUAUCUGCCACUCUGGCGGUUCCUUCUCCACAUCAGUGGAAUAUCUAAGACAGAUAAGGAGGAGAAAGAAGAGGACUUGGGAUUACAUAUUCAGUGAGAUCCUGUAAGCCAGUGCUGCAUCGGAGUGUGAGCAGAGGAUCUGGAGUGUUGAUAUUUCAGACUGGGUAGAAGAAAAGAGCCGAUAGGAGACAGAUCCAGGAAUCCCAGCAGGAAAAGAGGAGCGUGAGUAAAUAGUACCAUCACCCCUUCAAUCGAUCAAAACCACAUUCAACUUCAUUCUGCACCUGCUGAGCUGGUAGUUGAAUCUUUCUUUGGUGCUGUCAAGGUGGCUGGUGUGCAGCUUUGUGAGCGGGGGGGAAAGGGAUAGGAGGGGUCCCCCAGGGUCACUGUUGGCAUUUCAACAUUGCCAAUAGUAAUCUGCCGGUCGGGAAAGCAAGUCCCUGCUUGCAGCUUUCAGAACACUGCUGUGUUCUUAAAGAUUACAGGUGUCCUGCACCUUCCCUGACCAACCAACGCUGUUGGUGAAGCAUCACCAGUAAUCCACCAACACUUGCAUAACCAUAGAAAAGUAGCCCUUUCCGUUGAUAUACUCCAGGGCAACAUGGGCUGAUGCCAAUAUAGGGUAUUCAUGCUGUCUAUCACUUCACUGCAGAUCAGAAAUCCCGUUGCUGCAAAUCCAUCCACUAUGUCCUGCAUGUGGCCAGGAGUCAGUCCUGUGUAGCAAGAGACGAUUAAUGGCUCUGCACACUUGCAUGACAAUGCCCCCCCAACCCUCCAGUGGAUUUGCCAACUCUGAAAUGUUUUCCCAUUGACGGGUAGCAAUCUGGCAUUGCAAGUUUCCACAGUUUGAUCACCACUUGCUUCUCUACUGUCAGUGCAGCUCUCAUUCUGGUGUCCCCUAUUCUGGAUGGCUGGGGUGAGCUUGGCAAAUACAGGAUUGUGGCCUGUCACAUCCAAAAAUUCUACAGUCGCUGCUCUUUGUCCCAAACCUUUAUUACGAUGCGAGCCCUCCAGUCAGUGCUUGUUUCGUGGUCGCAGAAGCAGCACUCCCCCUUCUGUAGCUGCUCCUGCUACCAACACCCUUGAAUUGUUUUUUUACAAUAUCGCACAGCAAUCUGUUCUCCACAAAAUUGACACGUUCCUUGCAGAUGCAGUCAUUCUUGGGGCACUGCAAAUACCAGUGGAUCAUUCACCCUGUGCUUGCAACACUCAUGUCAAUAGUGCAGAGCUCUGCAGGGUCCAUACUUCUGACAGAGAUGUUUCUGACAGGACCAUAAAAAGGGCUGUGCUGGUUCCUGGGACUUUUAAGAAAAGGCAUGAAAAGUAAGGGGUAUGGAUGAUAUGGGAUGGGAUGGUGCGGUGGAUUCAUUCUGCACUGGAUGGGGAAGGGUUAUCUCCACAUUGUGGGCUGAGGAAGCCAUGCCCCCUCAUACCUACUGGGCAGUAGUAUAAAUGGGAGCAGCUCAACUCCGUCUGGGCUGACAGCCGAGGAAGAAGGAUGCUUGCUGCAGGCUCUAGCCCAGGAGGCGCCAGAGGCUCCGACAACAGAAACCAGGGAUGCUGACCCAGGCGGAGACUCAGAUGCCGGCGGAGGCCUGGGAGAAGCCAGGGUCACCAGGAGCCAUCCACACCUAAGAGACUGGAGACCCCGGAGCACAACUACAAGGGAUACGGUAGGAAGUAGCCGUGGGGGCGAGGCACCAGCCACAUGGCUAAGGACAGUCAGCCUGUUGCGGUCAGGAUCCCUGCCAUUGACUCAGGUGCAUAGACCCUCGCCACUGACAGGGCCCUGGGCUGGGACCUGGUGGAGUAGGGAGGGCCUGGGUCCCCCUACACCUGGCUGUCACCCACCCCUAGGUGGCAGCCUGUGUUCCUGACUCUGACCACCAGGCCUUACAGCCCUGAGAGCAAGGGCAACCCUGCUGACCCUGGCCACUAGGCCAGACUGUCCUGAACUCAAGGGCAGUAAAGAGGACUUACCCUCAAGCCUGCAACAACCCUCCUGUCCCAAAGUGGGGGGUGGGGUGCAUUUACCCUGAACUGGAUAGGGUACCCCCACCACAUCAGAGAUGGAGAAAGUUGCAUGCUGGGAACUGCACCCCAUAUUCUUCAUAGAGAUAUGAUGAUUAUAUGAUGAUAACAUAAUGAUAAUAUAUUUUAUGCAGGAUAGGUCAUGUGAGAUGUCAUUGGAACGGUUAUGAGUUACUGAAUAUGAUUAUCCUAUUUAUAUACAUGUAUCAUUUUUGUAUCUGAAGUUAGGAAUAUUGACUAUGUAUCUCUAUUACAAAGGUAUUUAUACAUGGAGAACGCCCACUAGACAAAAGGUUCCCAGUCUAGGUAGCUGGCUGGGAAGGGCCCAUUCAAGUUAAUGCACCAUUAGGGAGAACAAUAGGCUUUAAAAGAAGCUUCUUGCCCACCUGCGGCGGGGAGGGUGGGGGGGGGGUAAGAGGGGACUUCCUGAGGAUGCUACAAACAGUCUCUGACUCAUGGCUGCUAUGACCAGGGACAUGUGAUCAGGUCACCUGGCACUAGUCUCCAUCUUGGGAUACCAGUGUUUUUCCAUUUACUGACGUGGGAACCAAGCUUUGAAACAAAGGGUUCCCGCCAUAUGCAAAAGCUAUUUAAGGCAGGGGAGUAAUAUCAUCGUGGUUCUUCACUGACUCCCCACCCAAAGGGGAGACCUGGAAACACCUGAGGAACAAAGACUGAAUGGGGGGAAGUGCUGGACCCAGGCUAAAGGGAUUUUUAGCCUGUGACUGGAACACCUGCAGUUUCUAAGCUGUAAGCCUGUGCAGCUUGCCCCUUAAGAACUUGCAGGCUGCUGGUAUUAUCAUUUAGGGUGAGAAUUUGCUAUUCAUAUCCCAUCUGUGUAGUAUAUUAAGCUUAGUUUGCAUGUUUUUGUUUGUUUGCUAGCUAAUUUGCUUUGAUCUGUUUGCUAUCCAU
Molecule: long non-coding RNA, 8059 nt
Organism: Chelonia mydas (Green sea turtle)
Lineage: Eukaryota; Metazoa; Chordata; Testudines; Cheloniidae
Exons: 3
Source: RefSeq, a predicted model, not a curated record